RNAcentral lists this ribosomal RNA (269 nucleotides) under uncultured bacterium. RNAcentral describes it as "partial 16S ribosomal RNA". It matches the Rfam family "Bacterial small subunit ribosomal RNA", at positions 793 to 1055 of the family's 1533-position model. The record is from RNAcentral.
GUCCUGGCCGUAAACGUUGAAUACUAGGUGUGGGGGGUAUCGACCCCUCCCGUGCCGCAGCUAACGCAAUAAGUAUUCCGCCUGGGAAGUACGGCCGCAAGGUUGAAACUCAAAGGAAUUGACGGGGGCCCGCACAAGCGGUGGAGCAUGUGGUUUAAUUCGACGCAACGCGAAGAACCUUACCCGGGCUCGAAAUGCUGGGGCCAACUGUGGAAACACAGCCUCUUACCUUCGGGUAAGUCCCAGUAUAGGUGCUGCAUGGCUGUCGU